AACGAACGCUGGCGGCAUGCCUAACACAUGCAAGUCGAACGGAAAUGCUUAGCUUGCUUUGCAUUUUAGUGGCGGACGGGUGAGUAACGCGUGGGGGCCUGCCCUGGAGUGGGGAACAACGACGGGAAACUGUCGCUAAUACCGCAUACGCCCUGAGGGGGAAAGGCUUCGGCCGCUCUAGGAUGGACCCGCGUCGGAUUAGCUAGUUGGUAGGGUAACGGCCUACCAAGGCGACGAUCCGUAGCUGGUCUGAGAGGAUGAUCAGCCACACUGGGACUGAGACACGGCCCAGACUCCUACGGGAGGCAGCAGUGGGGAAUAUUGGACAAUGGGGGAAACCCUGAUCCAGCAAUGCCGCGUGUGUGAAGAAGGCCUUAGGGUUGUAAAAGGCUCUUUUCGGCCGGGAAGAAAUCGCAUGGGUUAAUACCCUGUGUGGAUGACGGUACCGGAAUAAGAAGCACCGGCUAACUACGUGCCAGCAGCCGCGGUAAU
This 492-nucleotide ribosomal RNA is filed under the name uncultured bacterium. RNAcentral describes it as "bacterial SSU rRNA". It matches the Rfam family "Bacterial small subunit ribosomal RNA", at positions 29 to 524 of the family's 1533-position model. The record is from RNAcentral.